UAGAAUGCUAAGGAUUUAACUGCUGGUGGGAGCCAGAGAAUGCUAAGGAGUUAACUGCUGGGGGGAGGGAGAAGCCUUAGAAUGAUAAUCAAAAAAAGUAGGAGAGAAAUUUCCAGGAACAAAAAUUUUCAUCCUUUGAAAGAGAAAAAAGUUAGGUAGAAGAGUGAGAGAGAAAGAAGGACACAGACAAUUUCACCCUUCUUUCUCCAGAGUGCUCACAGGAAUAUUCUGAAAUACCUGAGAAGUAAAAGCUGGACUAUUUGUCUCAAGCAAAGAGCUUAGGCAGACUAUUAGCAAGUACCUUGAUGCCUCCAGAGCCGCUUCAGUUCUUCAGGGAAAAAUUUUUACCCAGUUAGUUAAAGUGUUAAACAAAACCAAAAGCAGUUUGAAACCCCCUGCAAGGGGGUGUUUGUGUAGAAUCUAUUUGUCUUCCCCUGGGUAUGGGAUCCCUUCUCUGAACUGGCUUCAGGAGAGAGGGGAGUAGCCUCAAAGUCGGUUCACUGAGAUCAGUGAGGAAAAAGAAGACUGACUCCCAUCAGACAAAACACAGCAUCCUCAAGAAAGUUGAAAUCACAGGAGUCUCUCUUUGCAUGGAAAAAGAAUGUGCUCAAAGAGAAGCCAACCCAGAACUUGAGAAGAUCAGUGAUGGGGAGUUCUUAAACUCAACAAAUAGGGUCUUAAAACUGAUCAGAGACCAACUAUCCUGGGAAUGGAUUCUUCCAGCUUUGGGAUUUGCUCAUGAGAAAAAUAUGUGAAAGAAAAUAUUUAGAGAUGGGGCUAUAAAGUGGGAGGGAAGAAAGAAAGCAAGGAUAAAAGAAGACAGGGAAAGAAGGAAGGAAGGAAGGAAGAAGGAAGGAAGGAAGGAAGAAAGAAAGGAAGAAACAAGAAAGAAAGGAAGGAAAAAAGGAAGGAAGGAAAAUAGGGAAGAAGGGAGGGAGGGAAGAAAAGAGGGAAGGAGGUAGGGAGGAAAGGAGGAAGUAGGGAGGAAAAAGGAAAUACAUUCUUUGUGAAGGAACAGCUUGAAGUCUUUGAAAGUACUAUGCAAUUUUUUUCAAAUGCAAUCCCACCCUCCCUCUGCCUCCUCUUCAAGUCUGAGUCUGGAUCACUGUCCUUCUACUAAAUCUGUCCAAGUCUUAAUGUGAUAACUCAGUAGGUUCCUGAUGUAGCUAUUUUUCAUAGUCAUAGGUAUUUUUCAUCCUUUUGUAUUUUUUCCAAUAAAUAUUCUUAGUUCAAUCUCUUUUGAAUGCCCAUAGAGGCAUCUCUGUAGAGGUCUGAGGAACAAUGAAAGUCACAAAUAAGAGUUCAUGGAGAACUUCAUUCAAUAGAGAAAUAUCUCCUCUAUUUAGACUUUGCACAGGAUAUACCAUAAACAUUUGUGAUAAUCUACACCUUUCUCUUUUAUGUGAUGCUGGAUAUUGAUCAUCAAGAUUAUUGAAGAAAGGUCUCCCUGUUGUUGUACCCUUUGAAGAAUUUUGUAAGAUAUUAAAAUGUUUAUUGGAAAUACUUUGUUGAAGGACUGCCUUUAAAGUUAUGUCUUGCUCUAUUGAGGCAAGUUAUUUUUAUAAUAAUCAACAAACAUUAACUAUAAAGGGAUAUUAUAUUCUUUGAAUUCUAAAGUCAUUUUUUUCCUGUGAAGAAGUGGACAGCUAAUAGACCAAGUUAUAAUGAGGACAGAAUGACCCAACUUUUGUCCCAGUUUAUAUUCAAGGGAAGGGGUAAUAAUCUCAGUCUCUUUGUUCUUGGGAACCAUCCUUGAAAUAUCCUGAAACCUCAGUCCUCUCCUCCCACAUGAUCCCUAGAUGAAGAGAUAUCUCUUUUCAUAUCUCUGAACUUGGGUAGUGAUCAUUUGAGUGGAAAAGAGGGAAUGGAUGCAAAAAUUCAGUGGAGGUAGGAUGGACAACAUAUGAGAACUGAUUAGUUGUAUAUUAUAAAGGAGAGGGACAAAUCCAUGGUGACUCUCUUAAUUGCAAGCCUAAGAAGAGGCUCAGGUUUAGUAGAGAAGAUAAUGAAUUCCAUUUUUAUAUCUGUUGAAUUUUAGACAUUGUAAAAAUACCCAAGUAAAGAGCCUGGAGAUAGGGAAAAGGAGGAGAUGGGAAAAAAAAAAAAUAACAUGAGCAGUUAAUUCAAAAGUAUGGAAGUCUGGGCCUGUGGAUAACUUCAAUAAUCUCCUAAGAUUUUAUUGGGUUAUAUCAGAACCUAGUUCAUCAUGAUGACCUUGUACCCUCAGGAAAAAAAAAAUGUUAUGUUACCAUUUUCCUCUAAAGUGUGACUUGUUCUGGUAGGAAAAUGAUGCUGGAUUCUUGAAGGAUUCAUGUUAGCUCUCACCAAUUAUUAUUGGCCCAGCAAUGGACUCUGUUUGACUCCUGAGGUCCAGCAUUGCUAAAUUCAGAAAGGCUUAUCAGUAGAAGGCUUAUUGCUAGAGAAUUCUUUUUUUUUUAAUCUAUAGUAAGUCAUAAUGAUUAUCUGCAGUGAUACAGAUUCAAUACAAGGCAACAGCACUUGUUAAGCAGUUACUAUGUACUAGGCACUCUGCUAAGGACUGGAGAUAAAGUAUAAGCCUUCCUCAAGAAGGAUCCCUAAUAGGGGGACAUUAUACAAAAGGAAGAUAGUUAGUUGGGGCUAAGGGGAGGGGAGGGUGAAGGAACCUGGCAUGGUGUCAAAAUCUAAAAGUCAUAAAUACAGCCAGAAAGGAAAGCCCCAGGAGAAACUCAUCAAAGUGAGAACUUACCAGCAUAUCAAAAGGGUGUUCCAGGGUAAAAUUGCUGAUGAGGCAUGAUGGGACAAUGGAAAGAAUCAAUACAAAGUUAGCAAUUUAAAAAUUUUUAAGGUUUACAAAGCAUAAUGGCAUGACCCUCAUUUGAUCCUCACAAUAAUUGUGGGAGGUAGUUGCUAUUACUAUUCCCAUUGUAUAGAUAAAGAAAUUGAGGCAGAGAAGCAAAUGAUUUGCUCAGGAUCACAAGCUUAUAAGUAUCUGAGGCAAGAUUCAGAUGCAGUUCUUUUUGGCUCCAAAUUCAGAGCCUUAUCUACUACCAUCAGUAUAUAGUACAUUUUAGGAAGAUUUAAAGUUAGGUCACCAAAUAUUUAUUAAACACGUCUUAUGUGCUACAAAAUAGUUAAAAUAAAAGUUUGGCACUUAAAAAAUUUUUUAUAUAUUUGGAAAACAAUUUGUUUCAUUUUAUUCCUUUACAAUGCUGGAUAAUCCCAUUUAUACUUUAUGUGUGUGUGUGUGUGUGUGUGUGUGUGUGUGUCUGUGUAGUCCCUAUUUAAUCAACAAUUUUUCCCAAUUAUGACAAAAAAUGAAAUAGGAUUAUUUUAAAUUCAUAGUCUAAUUGUUAGAGUGGAAAACUCAUAUAAAGUAAGAUUUACAAAUGAGAUAUUUUACAUUUUCUUCUACUUUUCACAUUUUUUUUUGUUUUACUUGACUGAUACUUGAUGUCUCAUUGAAUAAUUUACUUCCAUUUGUUCAAUUAUAAUUUCUAAUGAAUUGUUUUAUUUGGUUAGCUUUUUUACCUCCUUUUGCAUUUGAUCAAUUGAACUUUUAAAUGAGCUAUUUUGUUGACUGAAUUUUUCCAUUUCACCAAUUCUAUUUUUUAGGGAAUUGCUCUCUUUUUCCAUUUCAACAAUUCUGUUUUUCAAGUUGUUUUUAAUUUUUAUUUCACCACAUCUAUUUUUUUUAAUUAUAGCUUUUUAUUGACAGAACAUAUGCAUGGGUAAUUUUUACAACAUUGUUCCUUACACUCAAUUCUGUUCCAACUUUUCCCUUCCCUUCCUUCACCCUCUCCCCUAGAUGGCAAGCAAUCUCAUACAUGUUAAAUAUGUUAAAGUAUAUCUUAGAUACAAUAUAACCACAUCUAUUUUUUAAGGAAUUAUUUUUUUUAGACAAUUUCUGCUUCCUUUUCUGAAGCUCUCAUUUUCUUUCUCCACUUUUAUCCUAACUCUCUUUUAAGAUCUUUUUUGAAUUCUUCCAAGAGAGUCUUUUGAAUGGAGGACUAACUCAUAUCACCCUUUGAAGCUUUAUCUGGACAUUUUGCCUUUAGUUUCCUCAGAGUUUGAGGUCUUUCUUAUCUCCAUAAUAGCUAUCUAUGGUCAUAACUCUUUUUGCUUGUUUGCUUAUUUUUAAAGGUUGAGAUCUGCUCCUAGGGUAAAGGAAAGAUUGUCCCAAGAUUCCUCUUCAGGACAACGGGUUUUAUGCUGCCCUGGGGGUCAUGGUGCUGUUUUCCCCCAGAGCUGGGUUGGCAUGGCCAAGUCCCACCUAUUAUGCUAGGGUUCAGGGGCUCACUAUUUGCCUUUUGUAGUUGUGUUAGAGGUCUCACAGCUAAUCUGCUGAUCCACUGGCUUUUGAACUAGGACAAAGUAGCCAAAGUUGCUUUAUUUUGGCUAAGAACUUCCCAUUAGAUUCCCAAGUGGGUCCUCUCUGCUCUGGGCCUCCCUGCACUGCACCUGUGCUGGGCCACAUCCCUCCUGCCCAAUUGAGACUUUUCCUGAAGUCCUUCCCAAGAUAUCUUCUGCUAGAAAUUUGUUACACUCCAAAUAUUUGUGGGUUCUGUCAUUUCAAAAUCCAUUCAGAAGAUCUGAUGUUAAUUCUGAGGGAAGCCAGGAAGAGAUCAGGCAAAGUCCUGUAUAUUCUCUGCUACCUUAGCUCUGUCCGUCCUAGAGUAAGAUUUAAAAGAGAAAAAAAGUUUUCUUUUUUUCCAUUUAAAUUGAGAAAGUACAUGGUAUAAAAGAGCUCUGAUAAAACUGAUUUGGUAAAAUCAGUAACCUUGUGUUCAAAUUCUGCUUUUGAUAAUUGCUAAUUAUAAAAACUUGGGCAAGGGAUUUAACUUCCCCGAGAUUGUUUCCUCAUCUUUAAAAUUAGUAGUUGAAUUAAAUGAACUCUGAGGUCCCUUCCAAUUCUAGAUCUCAAAUCUUUUGAUCUCUUAGACCAUUCACAUGGACCUAUUAGUUUUAGCAAACUCAAAGAUCACUUAUCUGCCCUUCCACUAUCUAGCAAAUUACAUUAUACACAAUAAAAACAUAAUUAAUAUUUCUUGAAUGAAUAAGUGAAGAAAAACCACAUUUGCAUAGAAUUCCCAGUAGUGUACCCCAAAAUUCAGAUGAGGAAGAACACUAAGAAAAAAACAAGAGAGACACAAACACAAAACUUAGGAAGAAAUAAUUUCAGAGUUUAGAGAGAAGAUAAUGAGUAUUCCACAGCUUCUAGAUGGAAAGUCAGUCCAGGAAACAACUCUGAAGAAUAAAAUUCAAAUGACAAUAUAAACAAUUUUGAUUAGGAGAAAACAGCAUUGUCUCUAAGGAGAUCAAUAUGGAGGCACAAUGUUGACCAACUGAGAUUUUUAAAGACAAAAGUGUGAGCAAAAUCAUAGAGGAUAAGGAGAAAAAGAAUGACCCUCUUCUGUAAAAAGAACAAAUAUCCAAAAUUCUCAAGUUCACAAUGGCUGAGACUAUAGAUAAAUGCUAAAGACAGUCAAAAGGGCUUUAAAAAAACUACAUUGGGGACAAGAAGGUCAAAGAAGACCUAGCUCCUCUACCUUUCCAACCUUCAUAUAUAUUGCUCUCCUCCUAAUAUCAUAUAUUACAAUCAAAUUGACUUAUCUUUUUCAGCAUAUGAUGUUCCAUCUCCUACCUCCAAGAUUUUGUCCUGACUGCCUUUCCUUCCUUCAUGAUUCUGGUCAAAGGCCACUUGUAAAAUUCUUUUAGCAAAAAUCUAUCUACUCUCUAGGUAUCUUUUAUUUGCCUGUUUCAGCAUCUUUCUCUUUAAAAUAUAAGCUCCUUGAAGACAGGGACAAUUUUUUUGGUAACCCCAGAGCUUAAUAGUGCCUGAUAUAAGGUAAUGACUUGAGAAAUGCUUCUUUGUUAAAAGAGCAUUUAGCUGUCUUCAAGGAGUUCAACCCAUUAGACUAUUAUGCAACAGAGUUUUUAAAGCAUGGACAGAAAUGAUUACUGAGAACAUCAAGAUUAUGUGAUGAUCAAUUGUGCUGCACUCGGCUUUUCUUAGCAAUGCAGUGAUUCAAGACAAUUCCAAUAGACUUGGGAUGGAAACUGCCAUCCACAUCCAGAGAGAAUAUGGAAAUUGAAUGUGGAUUGAAGCAUACUACUUUUACCUUUUUUGUUUGUUUCUUUGCUAGCUUGCUUUUUGUUUCUCAUGUUUUUUCCCCCUUUUGGUCUGAUUUUUUUUUUACAACAUGACAAAUAUGGAAAUAUGUUUAAAAGGAUUGGACAUGUAUAAUCUACAUCAGAUUGCUUGCUGUCUUGGGGAGUGGGAGAUAAGGGAAUAAGGGAAAAAUUUUAGAACACUAAAGUCUUGCAAAAAUGAAUGUUGAAAACUAUCUAUUUGAAAAAAUAAAAUACUAUUGAGAACAAAAAGGAAAUGAUUACUGAGGAACUGUCCAGGUACCCUCACCCUGGGGAAGGUGUUUCCCUCUCCAGAUCAGAAAGGUUACAGAGUGGAUAGCGAUUAGCUCCUUCAUGGUUCUUCAAGGAAGGAGCCCAAGGCACCUAUCUCAUCACUUCCCAUUUGUCUUUCCUCUUCAUCAGCUCUUCCCCCCCCCAAAAAAAAAUUCCGCUUCCCUUUUCAGUUUUUAUGUAUUGUCUUUUCUCAUUAGAUCCCUGAGUUCAGGGAUUGUCUUUUCCUUUCUUUCUACCCUCCAGUGGUUUCCACUGUGCCUGACCCAUUAUGGGCAUUUAAUAAAUGUUUAUUAAUUGACAAACCUUAAAAGACCUUGAAUAUUGGUAGAGGUGUUGAAAGACUGGAAACUGUCAAAUGGUCUGCCCCUUUCAAAAAAUAAAGAGAGCAGAAUCUCCAACUUGUAUAACAAUUUAGGAAAAUCCCAGAAAGAAUAAUUCAAAGUAGGGUUUUUGAACAUUCUGAAAGGAAAGUGGUGAUUACAAACAACUAACAUGGCUUUCUCAAGAGCAGGUCAUAGUAGACUAAUAAAUUUCCCUUUUGUGACAGUAUUACUGGACUCCAAGAAAUUAGGAAUUGCUAUAGAUAUAUGUUUAAAUUUCAACAAACCAUUUUGCAAAGUUCUUCAAGCCACCCAAGUGGAAAAGAUAUAGAUUAGAUGACAGUAAACUUAAGUAGAUUCAGAAUGGAUUGAAUGGCAUGAUCCAAAGAGUAACUACUUUGUAACAGUUACCUUUGUAACAAAGAGUAAUUGAAUGGAUCAACAUUAACUUGAAGGGUUGUGACAAGGUCCAUAAAGUAUUUGUCCUUGAUUCUGGAAUAUUUAAAACUUCUAUCAAUGGAUUUGGAUGAAAGGGCAAAGAUAUAAAGAGUGAAUAAGCAUUUAUAUAGUGUCUACUAUGUAUCAGGUACAAUGCUAAGGGUUUUUGUUUUUGUUUUUUACAAAUUUUAUUCCACUUAAUCCUCCUAAUAAACUUGUAAUGUUCUCUGGUUUGAUUUUCUUGGGGGUCUCUGGGAGCAGCCUUCAUUUCAGUUCAGUAAUCACCACAAGAAUAGCCCGGGGUUAAAGUCCAAAUCCUUUAUUAUCUCCUUCUUGAUGCUGGGCAGCUUUCUGGAGAACCUUUCAAUUUGGCCUUGGUCUUAGUGGGGGAAGUGCAGAAGUCCAGGCCAGUCACCAAGAAGAUCAAAGAUCAAAUUGAAUUUCUCCCCUUGGUUCUGAGAGCUUAAGCUCCUGCCUUCCAUCCUAUGUCUUCUCUGCCUCUGCCCUCUGAAAGCUUCUCCUUUGUGGCUCUUAGUCCCUGCUUAUAUGCUCUACACUGAAUAUAAAUCAAUCACUAUCACUAGGAAACCAUUAUUUGUUGUAAGAUUAAAUCAAUCAUACUGAACUUAGAAUACUUAUUAAUCACCAUGCUAAACUAGACAACCAUUGUAUUUAUCAAUUCCACUGAAUUAGCACCUAGUAAGAAUCUUUAUUUCAAGUUCAGAGUUGUGGCCCAUAACAGAAACUGAUGAGUUAGGUACUAUUAUUAUACAAUUGAGGAAACAGAAGCAGAAUAUUAAAUGACUUGCCCAGAGUCACAAAUUCCUACAAAUCAGGAGAUUUCAGGGAAACAGAAACCUUCCAUUCCAAUCUCCCCAAAUAGCAACAACCAAUUAGAUGCCUCCCCUACCCAGCCAGCAAGUAUGUGAGGCUGGAUUUCAAUUCAGUUCUUCUCUAUUCCAAGUCCAGAGGACCAUCACAAGUCGCUAUAAAUAAAUAAACAACAGACAUAUCAAAUUUAAAAAAAUAAAUAUAGCUGGAGGAGAUAGUCAGUGCCCAUUAAAUGGAAAAGACACCAUAGUGAUGGAAAAAAAAAAAAAACUAUGAUUUGAGUGAUAGUUCAAAAACACAAAUCACUUUGCUUCUCUUGAGUCUCAGUUUCCUCAGCUAUAAAAUGGGAAUAAUUAUAAUUCUUCUAUCACAGAAAAUUUAAGCAGAUCAAAUAAGAUAUAUGCUUGGUUACAUUUAAUGAUGCAGUAGAAAUUGACAUUUUUCUUGCUUUAUUCUGAUGAUGAUGGCAAUGUGAGGGAUGAGGAAGACCCUUACCCAAAAUGACUACUUAGAGAUCACUCGGUAGAAGGCAGAAAAGUUGUUUAUUGAAAACCUCCGGAGGAUGAGCCGUCCCAUCGCGAGAUAAGAAAGAGAAAGCUUGUGGUAGGAGAGCUAAAGAAGUAGUAAAGAUACAUAGCUUUUAUACAAGAGAUUACAUUACAAGUAAGAGAGCAUUGAGAAGGGGAGGGGAGGCAUCUAAUUGGUUGAUGCUAUUUGGGGAGAUUGGAAUGGAAGGUUUCUGUUUCCUUGAAAUCUCCUGAUUUGUAGGAAACAGAAAGUCAGGCCUUCAGAUUUAAUCAAGAAGACAGUGAUCCAGCUAAUAGACUAAAUAUCAAUAAAUGUCAAAUACCAAUAAAUGUCAUCAGCUCAGGUUAAGUAAAUAUGUUUCUAGCUGGCCAAGGUUCAAGUAAAUAUGAGCCUGCACAUAUUAUAUAGGUCACAGGGGAAACACAGGAAUAAUGAAAAUAAAAUACAGAAAAAGAAUUCACACAUUCCUGUAAGUUCUUCACCUUAUCUAUCUCUAUUUCAUAUAGCAAUGAUGAGGAGAAUGUUGAUGAAUAGUGAGAAAGUAGGAAUCCAAUAAGAUGCUAGAAGUCUCAAAUAUUGGGUUGAAUCUAAUAAGGUAAAUUUUAAUAAGAAUAAAUGUAAAGUCUUCAGUUCAAAAGAUCACAAUCUUAAGAACAAUAUGAAAGAUACCUGAGUAAGUAAUAUUGAUUUGAAAUUGAAUCUGAAUUCCUUAAAAAGGACUAAAGUCUGUGAAAUUUUAGUAGAAGCAACCUAAAUCUAAACUAUUUUUCCCAGCAGUCUUAAAAGCUAAUCCAAUGUUGGACUAUAAGAAGAGAGAUAUAAUAUUAAGGUCAAAGGAAGUAGGAGUCCUGCUGAUCUCUGUCUCAGUCCAACCACUCCUGGAAUAUUGUGUAUAGUUCUGACUGCCACACUACAAGAAGGAUGUCAGCCUGCUAGAACAUAAACACAGGAGGAGGAUGAAAGGAUUGUCACUUACCCACAUGAAUCAUUUGAAGACCUUAGAGAAGUCUCAAGAAGGACAUGUUAGCCAUCUUUAAAUAUCUAAAGGGCCAUCAUGUGAAGGAGUGCUUAGGUUUUUUUGUUUUGUUUUGUAUUUUUGUUUGACUUCAGAAGAAAGAAGUAGAACUACAUGUGGACAUUUCAAAGAAGUAGGCUCAGACUUGGGAACAAGAAAAACCUAACAAUUAAAGUUUUCCAGCUUUAAUCCUAAAGGGGAAUUGUUUGCUUUGAAAGAUGGCAGGUUUCCUUUCACUAGACAACUUCAAGAAGAAAUUGAAAAAAUAUUUAGCUGGAUUUUCUGUGGUAGGGAUUCUUGGUCAGAUAAGAGUUGAAUGAAAUUACUCUGAGGUUCUUUCCCAUUCUGAGAGUCUAUAAAUCUGUGAAAUCCUUCUUUCAAAAAACAACAAAAGCGAUAGAUUGUACCAAUCACAUCAUUUGUGUUCAAACUAUCAAAUAAUAUACUGUCUGUAUUGGAGAAACAAGCCAUAAGGUGUUACUAGUCAAGAGCACAGACAAGACAGCCAUUGCUUAUGACAAGAGUACAGAUAAGGCAGUGUGCAUAUUAAAGAGCAGCUGACUUGUUAGGGUGCCAGCUGGGCCCAUUCAGAAGGCGCUCCUGCAAAAGGGUGAGUCAACCUGGGUGGGAUUGAACCUUGUGGUUCUGAAAAGGCAGAAUGAUUCAAAGCUAACACCUACUUCUCUAGACAUCAAGUCGAGUUUGCUGUUGUGAUUACAGGUUGUGAUAAGAUCUAAGUCUCACCUCCUAUGUGUUAUAAUUCAGGCAUGAGCAGACUGCUCAGGAGAGGGUGAUUUCCCUGCCAGCGUCUGUAUUUCUAAUGUCAUUGCUCAUUCCCUGAACCUUCAGAAUUUGGCUGGCUGACAAAAGCAUAGUAUCUCUUCCCUCAAAGAAACUUUGGGAUCAUAAAAUGAAUCUGUCAGUAGAUGUUAUCAAAAUAUCCCACUGUGAUACUCUGUGGAAGUUGGUGAUGGGUUAGAAUACUGAUGUCAAUAUUCAUUGGCUGUAAGAUUAUGAUGAAUCAUUUUAUGUCUGUUUUCCCAUGUUUAAAAAUGGGGAUAAUACUUUUACUAACUGACUCCAAACUAACUGCCUUGGUUUGAGGAAAAGCAUUUUAAGCCUUUAAGCUUAAAGCUUAAAGAGAUGUACAUGCGGUUGUUGUUGUUAAGUCAUUUUUUAGGUUAUGUCUUACUCUUUGUGAUCCCAUUUGAGGUUUUCUUGGCAAAAAUAUAGUGGUUUGUCAUUUUCUUCAGCAGUUUAUUUUACAGAUGUGGAAACUGAGGCAAACAGUGACUUGUCCAGGAUUACAGAGCUAGUAUGUGUCUGAGACCAUAUUUAAACUUACAAAAAUAUUUGUUUCUAACUCUGGGUCUGGUAUUCUAUCCACUGUACCACCUAGCUUCCCUGAGAAAUAUGAAUAGUUAAUAUUAUUUUGUUACAAGUAAAUAUAAUAUUGUUGUUAUAGUGUAUUUAGGGUUAGGGUUAGACAUAAAGACUCAUUGAGUCUUGGCAAGCAUGAUGGUGCAUGCUUGUUAUUAUAACGAGGUGGAAGCUGAGGAUGGGGUAUGUCUUAAGUUCUGGAGUUAUGAGUUGCAGGGGACCAAGCCGAUAGAGUAUCUCCACUAAGUUCAAAAUCAUUGUGGUGAGUCUUUGGGAGAGGUGGAUAGGGUAAGGGGCUACCUAAGGAAACACAAAUUAGCCCAGGUUAGGAGUCUCAAGCUGAUCAAGACAAUAAAGGUAUUAGACCCAUAAAUAUCUCUUGACCUGCCUGACGGAGAUAGAAAGCUCCAGUCUUAAAAAACAAAAACAAAAGACUUAAUGAGGACUGGAGGGGUGGGAUGAGACAAGCAGACACAAUCAAAAUUGAGUGAAUUUUUUUCUGAACUAAAUUUACUUGCUAUAAAGAGGACUUUUUUCUUUGAGUGAGAAGAAUUGUAUAAGGGAAGGCAGGAGAAAUUACAGUGAUGCCAAAAUAUAAUAAUAGAAUGUCAAUGAAACAUUUAAAAAGAGAAAUAGGGACAGAAAGAAAGACAGACAGAGAGAGAGAGAGAGAGAGAAAGAGAGAGAGAGAGAGAGACAGAGAAAGAGAGAGAGAGAGAGAGACAGAGAGAGAGAGACAGAGAGACAGAGAAAGACAGAGACAGAGACAGACAGAGCACACAUACAGAGGGGAAAGUGAGUACUAACCUGUUACAUUUAGUGUAGAUUUUUAAAAAACUAUUAAAGAUUCACAUUUCCAUAUUAAUCCUCUGUUCAUCUUUGUAUUGUGGGAAUGUUUGUGUUUGCCAAGUUCACAAUUUUUUUUAAGAUUUAAUGAAAGCAUUUGCCUGGAUAUGAUAUUUGAGGUAAUUAACAUAAUUUUCACUUUUGAAGACAUGCCACAGGCUCACCUCCCAGUUGAGGUAAAGUAUUUGGUUUUAGAAAGGAGGGAGGACUGUGCAUGCAUAACAAUACCUGUGGGAGAAUUGUCCCUUAGCAAAGGAAAAUAAAAAAAGGAUAGUAAAAAGAAAAAUAGUGACAAAAAAAGAAAAAGGAAAAUGAGAAAAGAGGAUUAGAGAGGAAUGAGAUGACUAUUCAAUUCCAAGAAAUAUUUUGAUUGCUUUGAUCAAGUCAAUGAAUUUCUCUUUCCCUCAGUUUCCUUCACUUUAAAAUAUAAACACUGUCCUAUAUCACAGAAUGGUGCAAAACACUGUUAAUUGAAAUUUAAUCCCUUUAGCUUUAAUUCUAGGAAAAUGCAGAUCAUUUUGAAUAUUUAGAGCAUUAGGCCCUUGUAUUAUUCUUUUGCUGGGUUUAGGAAGCUUCCCUCCUCUCCUUCAUGGGAACUGGGUUAGAGAGCAAUCCUUCUGCAAAUGUUGCUUAGAGGAUGAGAAUUUGCAUUUAGGUCACUGUUUUAAGUCUCUUUAGCUCCCAAGACCUCCCAAACUCCUCAGUAACUCUGACAACCACAGCAACUUUUCACUCCAGUCUUAAGUACUUAGAACAGGGCUUUUCCUAAUUUCUUCCUCAAAGAAUUCUGGUCCUCCUGGCUGACUUUGAAAGAUAAAGUUUGGGAGCUGCAAGGACACUCCCUUCUCCACAUUAGGAAGUCCUGUCUGAAAGAUGGGACGAUAGUCCCUCAGCAUCCAGAAAGGGCAAUCUACUGCAGAACAAGGACCUAUAGGAGGAAGAAGACCCUCCUACUACAUCUAUUCUUGUAGCUGAAGCUGCUCAAGAAUUGGUGCACCCAACUCUGCUUUUUGUCUAAAACAAACUUCGCCUCAACCCAAGAAGCAAAGUUUGGCUUUUCUGAAAGUAUUGAAAACAGCCCGUUUUGUCUGUUGGAGUCAAAAUUCAUGAUGGAGUCCUAUCUCUACAAAAAGCCCUAUGUCUUCCGAGGUCAAGCUUCAUUGAUACCCAGAGUCCAUGACCAAACCAAUUGUCUUCCUCUCCCUCCUCCUCCCUCCCUCCAACUCUUGUAAAUCUCCUUUCUCAAACUGUCACAGGCUGGCAGCCAAGGACGGCUUUGAUGAUGUCAUUUGUGGCAUGAGAUCAUGUACUUUCCAGCCAACUCUGGCAGAGCCGAGUUUGAAAGCAUCAAGCAACGGUCCACUAACCUGUUGUACCCUCACAAUGGAGUGCAGGGGCCAACCUUUUUGCAUGAUGAAAGGCUCAAAGAAAUGAAAAGCCUACAAAUGACCUUUAGCCAGCAACCAGCUCCCGUACUGCUGAAAGGAUAGAGAUUUCAAAGUGGCUCUCAAUUGCGGGGGAAUGGGGUCACUACCAUUUCACAUCUUAUUUCCCAAAAUUCAAGAAGUCAGCUGCUUAACAAGUAGAGGGUGGAAGGAGGGACAAGCUGAAAACAGUUUCCAAGACUCAAGUCAGCUUUUUUGAAUCAUGGAAGACCAUCAUUCCCUGAAUGCUGCCAAGAACUCCAGACUUGCUCUCUGGAAGCUUUAACAUUAACCAUUCCCUAGUCUCUCCCUGCAAGAAUACCGAAUUUUAGAGGCAGCUAGAUGGUACAAUGGAUAGAGCACUGGUCCUGGAAGACAGGAGGACUUGAAUUUAAAUUCAGCUUCAAAUUCUUAACACUUACUAGUUGUGUGGUCCUGGGCAAGGAACUUAACUCCAGCUGCAUUGCAAGAGAAGAAAGGAAUUAACAAUACUGAAUUCUUCAAUCAAAAGAUAUGGGUGCAUAUCCUAGUUUCUACAUUAAGUAUAGGACUAUGGGCUAGUCGAGUUCACUGAUCCUCAGUGUCCACAUUAUAAAAUGGGAAUUAUAAGAGUUACAUUGUUUAUCUCAAAAAAUGUUUUUAUGUGCUUUAAUAUAAUAGAAAAAUGUGAAAUUGUUAAUAGUAUUGUUAAUUAUUAUUUUUGAAAGAAUCAGAAUUUCCCAAGAGUAUUAAAAAUAUACUUUUUUAUUAUAUCCAGAAAUCUCAAAUUCAGAUGUUUUAUUUUCUUGAAUGUCCACAUAAGAAUGUGUAAGCAAGGCAGAGGAGCAUUCUUGACUGACUAUAUUUAAGUAAAGACUUAGUGCUAUUUUCUGCAUACUCUAGAGAACAGAGAAGAGCAGCAGAAAUAUAAAAUGAUUCAUCAAGACUAUCUCCACAGAAAUAUGUCUAUUGCUCUCUGUCUAGUACAUUCUUUCCUUCUGUACCUCCUGGGCAGCAUGAUGAACCACUGGGGAGUCUUUUUUCUCUAUUCUACCUAAUCUGUGAUGGAGCAAGUAUUUCUUCUCAUCUUUCCUUUCCUCACUUCUCUUAGCUCCAAACAUUUCUAGUCUGACUCAGUUAUCUAAAAAUAUUACCACUCUUCUUGGGAAUUUUUUUGGAACCAUUGUGGGGCUUUAAUAAUUCUGAUUUCAUCACCCAUCCUGAUUAAAUGGUGCUGGGUCUUAAGAGAGAAAGCAUUAUAGACUUUUGAAAAAUGCUGAUACAAGCCUCUUUUCCUGUUCUGUAAAAAUAAACAGGCAGCAACAUAAUAUUUACAUGUCAUCAGAGUGUGUUUCUCAAUGCUCUUUCUAAAGAGAAUAAAGAGAAAGGAUUUUAUAAGAUUUUGCUUAACAACUCGUGCUUCUUUGAUUUCCUCCAGCCUCUUUCUCCAUUUUAUUGCCUCUUCCUUAUAAUGUAUGAUUCUCACUAGUUUCAUUUCAACUAUGGAAGCCAAUGGACUUUCAGAUUUUUGUUAACUUUGAGUCCCUUAAAAGUGGUAGGGAGUUUUCAAAUUAUAAAUUAAAUAAACAUUCCAAAGUACAAUGGUCUGUCUCAGGAUCUAGUAUAUUCUCCUUUCCUGGAAAUCUUCAAGCUAAAGUCUGGUAUAUUGUGGUAGGGAGUUAUUUUUGUUUAUAUAUUGAAUUAGGUGGUUGAAGAGAUAAUUUCUCCCCCUGAAAUUCUGUAAUUUUUCCUAAGCAGGCAAAACAAAUGGAAUAUUAAGAGAAAAUCCAAUCAGGUGUUUGAAAUGGAAGUUCGGCCCUGUGUUAUCAGGUUGAAAUAUUCACAUAAAACUUUUUGAUAAAAGACAAAUAGUAGAAGCUUGAGUUUGCCAGUCAAGCCUUUAAGAGAACAUGGAUGCUCUCCUACAUGCUAUGUUUUGAUAACAGAAUGUGAACCUAAAAUAAAUGAAGUUUCCUAAGUCAAAUGUAAUUUGUUAAAAAAAAAAAAAAAUCAAUCAUGCAAGUUACAAGACAGUAGAGACAUAGUUAGAAAAAAAUGGUCCCUAUGAAAAAGACCUAGAAGUUCUAACCAACUAUAAUUUUAGUAUGGAUGCUCUUCUGCAUUUAUGUUUUGAUAACAGAAUGUGGAUUAAAAAGAUUUUGUUAAACUGGGAUGAACCUAAAAUAAAUAAAGCUCCCUAAGUCAAAUGUAAUAUAUUAAAAAAAAUCAAUUAAGCAAGUUACAAAACAUUAGAGACAUAGUCAGAAAAAAUGAUCCCUAUGAUAAAAAACCUAGAAGCUCUAACCACUAUAAUUUUAGCAUGAAUCAAUGGUAGGUAGAUGCAAUUAAAAAAUCCAAUGCAAUCUUAGGUCACAAUAAUAGAAGUAAAAUGUCCAGAGAAAGAAAAUAAUGAUCCCGUGGUCCUCUGCCCUAGUCAGGACACAUCUAGAGUCAUAUGUUAAGUUAUGGAGAUCCCAUUUUAGGAAAGACAUUGGCAAUAUAAGCAGAUUGGUGAAGGACUCAAAAGCAUACCAUAUGAAGAUCAUGAAAGGAUCAGUCAAUAUUUAGUUUAAAGAAGAAAAAACUCAUAAGGGACAUAAUAAUCUAAAAUAUCUGAGUAUUGUCAUUUGGAAAGGGGAUUGGACUGGUUUAAUGAGGUAUCUGAUAACUUUCUCUUUCUCUGUCCUCCAGUAUAAAGGAUAAUGCCAGAGGCUUCACUGGAAAAAUAGUUUAAUUCUUUGCUGAGAAUUCUGGGAUUUAGCAUUUAUUGCUCAUCUUCCAAGCUUGAGGCUUGGAGUUAACUAUAAGAAAUUACAUAGCUCCAUGAAAAGCUUAAAUAAGGACAUGCUAGUGGGUAACAGCAACAUCUUCCAGAGUUAGCAGAAGCAUAGAUGGCUGAGCUCUUUUUCCCAGGCAGUGAGAGCAAUAAUAGGAAAAGAAUACAGAAGAGAAACAGAAAGACAGAGACAGACAGACAGAUAGAGACAUAGACUUGGAGAUAGACAGGAUGGCUAGAGAACUACCAGAUUGACUAUGGAUGGCUAGAGAACCACUAGAUUGAUUAAGGACUAGGAGUAGAAUCUCACGGAAGUCAACCUCCUACUUUAUGAUAAGAAAUAUUGACUAUGUUUGCUAGGAGGCACCUGUCCCUCUAUGAGGAAACUCCACAAAGGUUUCUUUUCCAAGUCCCUAUCCCCUUCCAUUUGUUGGUUGGCAGGCAACUGUUAUGAUUCUUUCUUUUGUUAUAUCCUAAUUGUUUUAUUAUGGUGAUCCUGGUUUUUCUUUACCUAACAUAUCUGUGGUUAAAAGUGUGUAUUUCCUUGUGUAUGUUCUAUCCACAGAUAAACGGAAAGCAAAGUUCUGGUUGACCUAACUACACUGAGGAAAUUAGCUAAAAAUAUUUUUUUCUACUUUAGAGCAGCAAGCUCUGGCAUAUGGUUAAAAGAGAGAAAUAUUUUGCAUGAGUCAGUCACUAAUGAGCUAUAGUAAUUAACUUUAUAUUUUAUUAACAUUUUAAUCAAUUAAUUAAUAAUAAAAACAAUUUUGUUCAUAUUUAAUAAUUUUAUAAAGUUUUCAAAAAGCAGAAAGAGAAUUCCACAAAGAUCUGGGGCCAUUGUCUCGGAACAUAAGAAGACCUACUGAUUAUUGGGAUUGAAUAUGGCAGAUAAAAUUUCUAAAUCUGACUCCAUUGAGACAGAGAAAAGAAGACAAUGAACGGUAUUAAGGUCACAAGUCUCUAUCCCUGAGCAGAAGGAAGAGGGAUUAAAAAUAGAGAGGGAAGUCCCAGAUCUGAGGUAGAUCCUAGGGGGUAGAUACGAAGAUGAUAUAAGUAGAUUUUUUUCCUGCCCCUUUCUUGGUUGAGAGAAGGACUGAAUUUGUCCUUGAGCUAGUCCUUUUUUCUUCCCAUGGUGAUAUUUAGAAGAGAGAAAUAGGACUAAAAGAUUUUUGGCUCAAUAUAUGGGGGGUGGGGAGGAGGAAACCUUCUUGAUAGAAUUAUCCAAAAGUUAAACAUGUAGAGUGAAAAAUAGUGAGUUCUCUGUCAUUGGAGUUAUUUAAGAGAGGGUUUGUGAUUACUUGGUGAUUUUGUAGAAAGGAUUAAUAAAAAUAGGUCUAGACAGUCUCUGAAGUCAGCCUAGAUUCCAAGAUUCUAUGCCUGUAAUGUAGGUAUCAAUCAACAGGUAAUAUCUCAUAAUUGAAUGGAUCAACUGAUUUGACUUUCCUCUGGUGUCAACAUCAUAGCUUAGCAUAUAAUUCUCUUUAUUUUCUGUUAAAUAAAUAAAUAAACAUAGCUGUUAAAAUACCAAAAGUAUUUAAGGUAGCAUGGCAGAGAAGAAUAAAUGAAAAGCUGAGGCUUUAGUCCUGUUUUUGGCAGACUAUGAGACUCUUAACUUUUCAGUGCACUAGGUAAUUUUUUAAAACUCACUUGUAGAAUUGUUUUUCUACAAAGGUAGAUGGGACUUCGAGAUCAGACAUCCUUUAUACAGAGGUCCUCAAACUUUUUAAAUAGGGGGCCAGUUCACUGUCCCUCAGACUGUUGGAGGGCCAGACUAUAGUAAAAACAAAAACUUUGUUUUGUAGGCCUUUAAAUAAAGAAACUUCAUAGCCCUGGGUGAGGGGGAUAAUCGUCCUCAGCUGCCACAUCUGGCCCACAGGCUGUAGUUUGAGGACCCCUACGAAAUGUCUUACUACUCACUGCGGAAAAAAAGUAUUUAAUUAUUAAGCAUAAAUAAAAUGUUUUAAGCUUGAACUGAGUUUAUAGAAAUAUCAAUAUCUAAAGCAAUUAUCUUAACUUUUUAAAGCUAAUAUUCAAUUGAUACCAAUUAUUGAUUUAUUCUUCUUUCAAGAAAACCUUUUACUUUACCUCUCUUAUACUGCUUUGGACUUUGAAAAAAAAUCCAAGUCUCAGUCUGUACAUACCUUUCCAGAAGUUUUCUGCUUCAGUUCUCUUCUGCUAUUCUAUUUAACUGCCUUGUCAUAAAUUAUAAUUGCCCUAAGAAAUUAAUUGUCUGUGAUUGUGUUCUACUCAUCUCUGAAAAGUCCUUAAUUUAUCUUCUUUACUAAAUUGAAAACUCUUCUUUAUGCCAUACACCGGAAAUAAGAUUUCUACUUCAUCCUCAAUCAUCUUGCUCCAUGCCCUCAUAGUGGAAAAAAAGAUUAGAUAACUCAAUUAUGACCAUUGAUUACAGCUAUUGAAAAGAGAGUUUGAGGGUUUUUUUUUUAAAGGUAACUUGAUCAGUUUCUCUCAUCUAUUCCAAUUCCUACAGUUAACUGUGACAAACAUCUCUCUCAUUGAAUGGUAAUACUAUAUCCAUUCAUACUAGAACAGGUAAAGGAGAAAAUCAACAACAAGAAUUAUGUGUUCAAAGAGAUUUUUAGAAAAUAUUCUUCAGGGGGCAGAGCCAAAUGAUGGAGAGGACGCAUGCAUCAUUCGAAGCUCCUCUUCUACUCUCACUACUGAUUACCAAAUUCAGCCUCAGAAAUAGUUCUUGACUGGUAAAAUCCACAAAUAUUGGGAGUACAACAAAUUACCAGCUGAAGAUAAUUUGGAAGAUUGACAGAAAAAGUCUGUCCUGAUCCAGUGGGAGGAGGCCAGGACAAGAAGAGAGGCAGAAUACAGAGACUAGCAUACUGAGGGGACCAGGGAUGGGUGUGGUCUCCGUGGGUGGAGAAUUUGCAGGGAGGACUCU
This 18853-nucleotide long non-coding RNA is filed under the name Sarcophilus harrisii (Tasmanian devil). Its description in RNAcentral is "lncRNA (ENSSHAG00000028073.1)". The record is from RNAcentral. Lineage: Eukaryota; Metazoa; Chordata; Mammalia; Dasyuromorphia; Dasyuridae.